RNAcentral lists this ribosomal RNA (105 nucleotides) under Callithrix jacchus (white-tufted-ear marmoset). Lineage: Eukaryota; Metazoa; Chordata; Mammalia; Primates; Cebidae. The record is from RNAcentral.
CUCUCUGGCCAUACCACCCUGACUGUGCCUGAUCUCAUCUGAUCUUGUAAGUUAAGCAGGAUCAGGCCUGGUUAGUACUUGGAUGAGAGGACAUGCAUAGAAGGC